GAUGAACGCUAGCGGCAGGCUUAAUACAUGCAAGUCAAGGGGUCAGCAAUGGCACCGGCGGACGGGUGAGUAACGCGUACACAACGUACCUUUAACUGGGGGAUAGCAUCUGGAAACGGGUGGUAAUACCGCAUGUGGUUGCGAGGAGGCAUCUCUUUGUAACUAAAAACUUAGGUGGUUAGAGAUCGGUGUGCGUCUGAUUAGCUAGUUGGUAGGGUAGAGGCCUACCAAGGCGACGAUCAGUAGGGGGCGUGAGAGCGUGAACCCCCACACGGGUACUGAGACACGGACCCGACUCCUACGGGAGGCAGCAGUAAGGAAUAUUGGUCAAUGGAGGGAACUCUGAACCAGCCAUGCCGCGUGAAGGAAGAAGGCGCUACGCGUUGUAAACUUCGUUUUAAGGGGGAAGAAUAAAGUGACGGUACCCCUUGAAUAAGCCCCGGCUAACUACGUG
This 454-nucleotide ribosomal RNA is filed under the name uncultured bacterium. Its description in RNAcentral is "bacterial SSU rRNA". It matches the Rfam family "Bacterial small subunit ribosomal RNA", at positions 28 to 507 of the family's 1533-position model. The record is from RNAcentral.